ACAGAGGGGACGGGGCGACUAUGGAUUUACCGUUGGUGGCUACUGGUGGAGAAGAAGAGGAGUCAGAGCGUCAGAUUUGCAAGGGUGGGGGCAGAGCAAAUGGGCGGGUAGCAGAUCCGGCGUGGCCGCUGUCGGUGGAGGAGAAGAGGAACCAGGGCGGUGGAUCUGUGAGGGAGGGGUUAGAGCAAAAGUGCCAGCAGUGGAUACGACGAUGGCGGCUGUUAUAGGCAUCAUGGAGGAGAAAAGGCAUUCCGAGCACGGGCCUCCACCCGGUGGAGGAGAAGAGGAGCC
This 291-nucleotide long non-coding RNA is filed under the name Sorghum bicolor (sorghum). RNAcentral describes it as "long non-coding RNA (SBIC_LNC009637)". Lineage: Eukaryota; Viridiplantae; Streptophyta; Magnoliopsida; Poales; Poaceae. The record is from RNAcentral.